RNAcentral lists this ribosomal RNA (759 nucleotides) under uncultured archaeon. RNAcentral describes it as "bacterial SSU rRNA". It matches the Rfam family "Archaeal small subunit ribosomal RNA", at positions 114 to 879 of the family's 1478-position model. The record is from RNAcentral.
UUGUGGGGGGGGGUUACCCCGGGAACUGGGGAUAAUACCCCAUAGACUAUGGAUGCUGGAAUGCUCUGUAGUUGAAAGGUCCGCCGCCAUAGGAUGGGUCUGCGGCCGAUUAGGUUGUUGUUGGGGUAACGGCCCAACAAGCCUGUAAUCGGUACGGGUUGUGGGAGCAAGAGCCCGGAGAUGGAUUCUGAGACACGAAUCCAGGCCCUACGGGGCGCAGCAGGCGCGAAAACUUUACAAUGCGGGAAACCGUGAUAAGGGAACUCCGAGUGCCCGUAAAAUCGGGCUGUCCAUCUGUUUAAAUAACAGGUGAAGAAAGGGCCGGGCAAGACCGGUGCCAGCCGCCGCGGUAAUGCCGGCGGCUCGAGUGGUGGCCACUAUUACUGGGCUUAAAGCGUUCGUAGCUGGUUUGUUAAGUCUCUGGGGAAAUCUGCCGGCUCAACCGGCAGGCGUUCCAGGGAUACUGGCAGACUAGGGACCGGGAGAGGUGAGGGGUACUCCAGGGGUAGGAGUGAAAUCCUGUAAUCCUUGGGGGACCACCUGUGGCGAAGGCGCCUCACCAGAACGGCUCCGACAGUGAGGGACGAAAGCUGGGGGAGCAAACCGGAUUAGAUACCCGGGUAGUCCCAGCCGUAAACGAUGCGCGUUAGGUGUAUCGGUGACCACGAGUCACCGAGGUGCCGAAGAGAAAUCGUGAAACGUGCCGCCUGGGAAGUACGGUCGCAAGGCUGAAACUUAAAGGAAUUGGCGGGGGAGCAC